ACCCGGAUUUAGAUGAAUGUUAGAUACUAACAUUUGUCUAUCACGAGGUUAUACCAACGUCUGACUAUGUAUUAGGAUGACAUUAACGCUCUUCAUACUUAAAUGAAGGCGCUGCCGCUUCUAGAAAGCAGUUCAGUCACUCAACUGAUGGAUCCGAGAUUGGCGGAUAAAGAAGAUGAUUUGAAGGUGGUUCAUUGUAUGGCUCGGGCGGCUUUGUUUUGUCUGAAAAAUGAUUCCGGUCGCAGUAUUUCCAUAAGCGAGGUAAGGUUUUUUUUUCAUAAUCACGUUCUUGCUUGCAAUAAUAAUACCAGUUGGAACUCCCCAGAUUUUAAGAGUUUCCUGCAAAUUUUUGCAGGUCUUAGCUGUGGUUCGAGGCGAUCAGCAUGCAGUACUUCAGCUUUGAAUCGGUCCAACAGCCGUAUUCAUGGAAAAAAAAAGAAAAGAAAAGAGAACGCUUGCUUGUAAAAGAAGAAUAUUGUUGAAGGAAUAAAGAGAAGCACUUACAUAUACUAUAAAGCAGCUUGUUUGAAAGUGAAAAUUAUGAAGGUUGCGGCGUUAUUAAUAUCACUUCUUAAAAAUGAUUGCAUGAACGGAAACCAACCCGAAAACUUGUCUCUCCUAUCGAAAAAACUCUGGGUUGUUCUCCAUUCAGAGCUUCGACUUUACAAAGCAUCGGUUUCCUGGUGAAAAUUUACUGAAAUCAGCUGAGGGAAGUGAAUCCUGUCCACCUUCACUUCACAAGAUACUAUCUAAUGGUUUGUUGAGUGAAGCUCAAGAAAAGAGGUUGAAACAUGCUUUUUACAUGGACGAAAGGUCUUCCCUACAAACACAAACAGAUCCUAAAAGCAUUGAUAUUUUGAUAUUGAAAUGUCUUGGAAAACGAAAAACUUGGAACACAAGAAAGAAGAAACGUUAACACAAAGGAAUUGGAUUUUGGAAAAUCAGAAUUAUCAUUACCUGCAACCAGAUUAUUUGAUUGGAAUUCUUCUAUUCAAUGUAAACUGCUCCAUUGAAUGCUGACCCAUCCGUGAUCUAACGUUUAGGCUGUGACCCUUUCGACAUUAUAUGUUGCUUGGAUAAUAUCUCUGCAGUGAGUUGGCGUCCAAGUAACUCAGAGUUCUUAAGAAUCAGGUUUCUUGUCGUUGAAUCAACAGCAUAUCCUUGUCCUGGCAUCCACUGCAGCAACUGCAAGAGCAAUUCCCUUUUUUCGGGCUGAGCAAUAUAACGGGAUACAGCAGUCUGAAAGAGUCCCUGUGUAAAACCGAAUAAAUCGAAUGAUUUGAUCAUAUUAUGAAUUAUAACACACAGCCAAACCUGUAUCAAAAUCAAGAGAUAUUGCUCCAAUUCCAUGGAAGUAGGACUGGGUCUAAUUGUGUUCAAAAACCUAUGUUGCUCGGACUCUUCAUUAUUCAUGAAGUACCCAUGUCCGACACUGGUGUUUGAAACACCGAUACAAGGAUAUGACCUUCAAAUACACGAAAAAACUUAGAAAAACCAACCAUACCUGUAUACAACAAACACCCGAGUCCGAGUAACCUAAGCAGAAACUAUUACCUAUGUUUUAACUUGACCAUCUUUUCUAUGGCAAUAAAAACUAAAAAUAAUGCCACUACAAUACUGAUGUAUCCAUGCUGAGGAUCUCCAGGGUAUAGCUUUCAUGGACUGGAGAUAUUUAAUCCAGCAGAUGGAUUAUAACAUUAAUAUGAUCUGUUCAGCUCUAAGUAUACCUACAUACACCAAUCUCAUGAUAAUCAAACGCAGAUGCAGUCCAUGCAUCAGAAUGCAGAAUGGCAGAGACAUGGCAAGUUCAUAGAAAAGUACCUGAUCAGUCUUGUACCCGGAACCAUGAAUAACCUUCAGGACAUCAUUUAUCAAGUUGAUAUUACCGAACUUCAUGAAUGCACUUGCGAACUUCUUUAUAGCAGGCUGAGAGAUGUGUUCUGCAUUAUCCUGAUACGAGAAAUAAUUUGAGAGAAAAAAAUUGAUAGUAAAGAAGGGACUGAUAGUUCUACCAGAUACCUUGACAACUACAUAUGCAUCUUUGAACAGUUUUCCAGCUAUAAGAAUAUGUAGAAUUUUCUCAUGACGGCCUUUACACAUUGUUCUUUUGCUAUAUCUCAACAUAUUGUAAACCGAAAAUGCUUCAGAAUGAGCCUUCAUUUUACCAAGUUGAAAUAUUAAGGAGCAGCAAAGUUCCUGCAAAUAGAAUAGAAUUGUAUGGUUAUAAUGAUUUAACUUAUUUCCAUAAAAGAUGCUGCCUACACUCCAAGCGUAGAACUCCCAUUAAAGUAAAACCAAUAACUUAGGUAUGCUUUCUGGAUAGCUUUUAAUGCGACCCUUGUUAUUAAGUAACAUGUCCACUGCCAAAGCAGCAACUCGAAUAAACUUGAGCAAACAACAUUCACAUAACGACAAGAAACCGCCUUCAGGCAUAUUUGCGGGAAAAAAAAGAGAGUAUAGCUGGAGAUAACAAUUGUAUAGACAAAAAGACUCGUUCCAGUAAUUUGUAUUAUGACAGGCAACCAAGUAUAUAGUCCCGUAACUGGAAGUACAAAACAUUGCUAUGGAAGAUUGGACCAAGUUCUAAGAGUGUUUCAUACGAUGCGCAAAGUGAAGAAAAACUCAUGGGAUUACGUUAGUUAUGCUGAACUGAUGCUGGACUAUGAUAACAACUCAGGAACCCACGCUACCAUUCAUAAUAACAUCUAAAAGUUUGAAAGUCCUGUACCUCCUCCGGAUGAUAUCCUUUACCGUGCAUGUCCUGCAUGAUCUUAUAAGCAAGAAGAUAUAGUUUCUCCUUACAGAAAUACUUUAUUAGGAUAUGAAAAGUGCUAUAAUCCGGACUGAUUGCAAGUUCAUCCAUUUUCUUCAUUGUUUGCAUUACACUCUCCAUAUCGCCUGCUCUACAGUAAGCACAAAGCAUCGUAUUUAACAUAUAACCUGGUCAUACUUGUUAUACUUGGCCUCGAAAUCUUGAGCCAACUUCUUUGCCUCUUCAAAAAGCUCGCUUCAACACAUAGCUGAGAUCAUGAUGCUAUGCAAGUAUCCAUCUGAACGAGACAAAUAAGUUUCAUAUACUUGGAAUUGGAACCAAACCAGGGUAAAAGUACCAUAGAAAAUCCCAUACUAAGAGUUAAAUUGCAUUUUGCUCCCUAUACUCAAAAAAUGAGCAAAUUAGUCCCUGUGCGUUAGAUCGAAGAGCAAAUUGGUUCUUUCUAUUAAAAAUUUCAUCCAUUUUUACUAUUAAAAACUGGCAUAACUGACAGAAUAACUAGACAAUGACACAUGAUAUGCCACAUGUACCUAAUGUUAACAUACAUGGACCAAUUUUUAACAAUAGAAAUGGAUGAAAUUUUUAAUAGAAUGACCAAUUUGCUAUUUGGUCUAACAUAUAGCAGUUAAUUUGCCUAUUUUUUGAGUAAAGAGGGCAAAAUGCAAUCCGAAUCCUAGUACAAGGUCCUCCAUGGUACUUUUACUAAAUAAGGGGAGAUGAAACUUCAAUAUAACAAGGUAAGCUUGCCUUAAAUCAUUAGCCAGUGUUCCUUGAACACUCAGUACUUGUAAACUUACCGGAUUUGACACGUUUUUCAUGCAUUUCAGCAAAAACUGAUCUUGCUUCAUCAAGGCGCCCAGCUUUGGAAAGACCAUCCAUCAAUAAACAGUAAGGCAUCUGCAUAAGUGUGUGCAUAUUACGAGCACUUAGUUACAAAACUAAGCAAGGUUUUCAAUCACAAAAGCAGCCAAUGAAGCUUAAUCAUAUAAAUAAAUGCAUAACUUUUAUCAUUUUUCACAUCUCAUAUUUGGCCAGGCACAAAAUGAGAGGAAAUUAUCGAAGUACCUCAUCUUCAGCAUAACCUAAAGCUUCCAAUUCAGAUAAUAAUUUUCUUGAUUUUUCAAACAAGCCUCCUCGAACAUACACCUUUAACAAAGUAGUCAGUAUAACCCUGAAGAUUUCAAUUCCUCCAUCAACUCAUCGGACUUACGAUAAUUCCCAUCAUAAGAGUAAGCUUUAAGUAAAGAGCUGUAAUGAUAUAAAUUAGGUGAAAGGCCUUCAUCCCUCAUCUGGUUGAAGUGGUUUUGAGCUUCUUCGCUAAGCCCACUCGAAGCACAAACGGCCAAAAGUGUUCCAUACAUCACAUUAUCCAUUUCCAAACCAUUAUAUUUCAACUCCUUCAUCAACUCUAAUGCCUUAUAAUGCCCAUUUUUUAUUCUUAUGCAACCUGCCAGCAACUAAGUAUUGACAAAAACAAAAACAACAAUUAAAGUUUCACAUUCGAAAACAACCAUUAUCUUCUCGGUAAAAGCAGUACUAAAAGUUAGAUUGCAUUUUACCUCUUCUAUUCAAAAAAUGGACAAAUUAGUCUCUAUAUGUUAGAUCAAAGAGUAAAUUGGUCUUUUAUUAAAAAUUUCAUUCAUUUCUACUGCUAAAAAUUGGUCCAUGUAUAUCAGAAUGAGGUAAAUGUGAAAUUUUAACAAAAAAGAGUUGUUUGCUCUUUGAUCUAACAUACUAGGACUAAAUUGCCCAUUUUUUAAUGGAGGGGACAAAAUGCAAUCUGAUUCUUAGUGCAGUGACCUUCAUGGUACUUUUACCUUAAAUUCUAAGUUGCAUUAAGAAACAUACCGUGUUAUACGUAACCAAAUCUGGGGUUAGACCCUCCUGCUUUAUCUUAUCAAACAAUUUGAUGCCACUAUCGAAUUUCCCAUUCCUAACCAAACAGCUAAGAAGAGAGUUCCAUAUAAACACAUUAACUUUGGUUGGUUUAUCAGGAAUACCAUUGUAAAUCGCCAAAGCUUUAACAGGGCUGAGUUUUUUCCCCAUAACUUUCAUAUAAGUGGUAUAAGAUGAACCAUUGGUCUUCCCACGCUGUUGACAGCUGCAAAAAAAUUAUCCAAAACAACAAAGAAUCAAAGUACAUCCAAACAAAAUAUCUACUUUGACAUUAAUGAUACAUAGCAAUAGUAUACAAACAGGGGUGAAACCAAGGGACAGGAAGGCCUUCGGUAAAUGGAAAAUUUGCAUUUUAGGCCCUCCCAAGAAUUAAAAUUUCAAUUUAAGACCCUUUUAACAGAAACAACAAAGAAUCAAAGUUCAUCCAAACAAAAUAUCUACUUUGACAUUAAGGAUACGUAGCAAUAGCAUACAAACAGGGGUGAAACCAAGGGACAGGCAGGCCUUUGGUAAAUGGAAAUUUUGCAUUUUGGCCCUCCCAAGAAUUAAAAUUUCAAUUUAAGACUUUUAACGCAAAAUUCAUGUCUUCCCACUGCAUAAAAAAAUCUGGGUACCAGAGAAAGAUAAUUAAAUUUUUCAUAGAAAAUUACAAACAAGUGAGCUCUAAUAAAAAUUAAUAAUAUAAUUUUUUUUUUUAAAAUUUAGUAAUAUUAAGAUGAAAAAAAUAUUCACAUAAUAUUUAACAUGGAAAAUAUUGAAUUUAACGAUUUAAUUAAAAGCAUGAUCACUUGAAUCAUGGUAAUUUAAAAAACUCAAACGGUUGCAUUUAACUAAUAAAUAAUAUAUGAAAUCGAAUUAUAUUAAAUGCAAUCGUUUGAGUUUUUUAACUACGAUAUAUUCAAUAACGUGCCAUAUUAUAUCACGACAUAUUUUAAAUUAAUGUAACAUCAUUUAAUUAAAACUAUCCUAUAAAAUAAACAAUUUUAAGUUGUUAUAAAAAUAUCAUUUUUGUUUUUUUCUUCUUUAAUAUAAAAAGUCUUUUAUUUUAAAAAUAUAAAAAAUAAAAAAGAUAGAAAAACAUUUAGUCUUUAAACUUUUUUGAUUCACAUUUAGUCGGUUAAAGUGUGACAACAUGGCACUUCAAGAUUGUGCCACAUCAUUACCUUAAAUUUUUUUUUUUGUAUUUUUAAAAUUUAUAUGAAAAAUUUUAAAUUUUCUUGUGAUGAAGAGUACCAUGUCAUCUUACCUUAAUAGAAUACAAAAUUGAGGACCAAAUUGAAAAAAAUUGCCAAGUUAAAAAAUAUUUAAGGACCGAAUUAAGAAAACUUGCCAAGUUUAGAUCUCAAAUAAAAAUACAAUCCAAGUUUUACCACAGGGGCGAAGCCAGAAAUUUCUUUUACGGGGCCGAAAUUAAAUUAUAAUUUUUACAAUAGUAAAAAUACAAUUUCACCAUUUUAAAUAGCAUAUAUCUUUAUAAUUUUUAAAGGAUUAAAUUAAAUUUUUAUCAUUUCUAAAGGAGUCAUUAAUUUAAAAUUUUUAUAAUUACCAUAUAAAAUUCAUAUAGUCUUAAUACACAGCUAUUUUUUGGAUUAUAUGAUACAGCAUGCCAAUGAGAUUGCAACAUUGUUAACAGGCGAUUAUAACUAAAAACUACAAUCUAGUCCGAGUCGCCAUUAAUGGAUAUUUAGUGACCAUCUUUACCCCAAUGUCCAGCUGAAGAGCAUUUCAUUAAUUACUUUCAGAUUGACAAUCACGAAGCUAACAACAACAAAGAUGGUGUCUGAAGCGGAAUCGAUGGCAAGAGAGAGUGUGAUCGUGGUGAUAGAUGGUAAGAGAAGCAAAGGAAUGGUGGAGCCACUUGACUGGGCUCUUAAACACGUCGUUCGCCGGAAAAACAUCGUGAUCGUCGUCGCAAUUUUGGGUGAUAUGGGGAAGAAGAACGCUACUCAAUGCUUUCCUUUGAACAUGAGAUUUAACUUCUCUGGAAUAUGUGAGCUAUUUUAUUUAUUUGUUUAUUUAGUACUCUGUGUUUGAUAAAAAGAGCUUGGCAUCUCUCAUAUCUAGUAUAGGCUGGCAGGUCGAAUUUGGGGUUCGAAAAUAUGGAGAAAAAAAUGGUAUGAAAUAAGGAUAUUAUCUUUUUCUAAUAGUUUUAUAUUACAGUAAUUUCAUCUUGAAUUUUAAGAUUUUUUUUUUGAAUUUGAUUUUUUUAGGAUGAAAAUACUGAAUUUCAAGAUGAAAAUACUAAUGUAACAUACAACUACGGAAAAAGGGAUACAAAUGACGUGACGUUACUGUUUCAUACAAUCUUUUCCGAAAAUACUUGUGAGGUAAAUGUAAAGUUUGGGGGUUGAUAAAAGGUACGUAGGCAAGGGGUGAAGUGAGAAAUUCUUUUAAGGGUCAAAUUUAAAUUAUAAAUUUGUGAAAGUUAAAAUACAAUAAUAAAAGUUUAUAACUUUUUGAGGGAUUAAUUAUAAUCAUUUUAAAGGAAUAGAAAUGAAUUUUAAAUUUUAAGAGGCCAACAUGUAAAUUUAUCAUUAGAUUAACCUAAAAUUUUAUAAUUUUUAAAAGGAAUAAAAAGAAAAAAAUUUAAUUUAGGAGCGAAGGCUCGUGUCUACCCCUAGCUGGAGUUGUCCAUAAGUCUAAAUUUUUGCCCAAACCUGGUCUGAAUAAAAAUACUAAAAUUUGGGCCCAGUUCGGUUGUAUUAAAAAUAUUUUAUUUUAUUUUUAUAUAAAAAAAUUAAAAAAAUAUAAUACAUCAAAUAGACUAAAAACAUUAAAAUAAAUGUUUCCCAACAAAUUAAAAAUAAAUUUAAAAAUAUCUUUAUACUUAAAUAACAUUAAGAUAUGCGCAACUUAACAAGCAAAUGGCUCUAAAAUAGUAGCAAAUUUAACAAUAAAACAUUAGUUAUAUAAUAUCCAGACAAUAACAACAAAAUAAUAACAAUAUAACAAUGAAAUGGUAGCAAAACAGUGCGAAAACAACAACAAAACAUUAGAAUUUUUUUUAUAAAUUCGGAUAAGCCGGGCCAAAAAACCUUAUCUGAGACCCAAUUCCUUAUUUUUUUGCCCAAAAUCUCACGCUUUUCGAUCGGGACCCUACUCAUAGACAACCCUAGCUUAGCUUCUAUGUAUAGGUGAGGAUGGAACAUCAUUGGAGCCGGAGUAGGAGACCUUAGCCUCAAAAUUUUGAAAAUUUUUUAUUAUAUCAUUCAAAAUUUUUGAAAAUUUUAAUUAGAUUCUUUAACGCUUUUAGAAAAUUUAAUUAAGUCUUCAAAAGUUUAAAAAAAUUUAAUUAGACCUCUAAUUUUUUUUAUAAAUUUUCAUUAAUCUUUUUAAUCAAAAUUUUAAAAAAUUUUAAUUAAACCCCAAUUAGAGCUCCCAAAAUUUAUUUUCAUGUUUUUCCACAAAGUGUAAGCGUUGAGGAUGAGUUUCAUACUUGGAAUUUAUACAUAACACUCGAGCUACCUAAAGGGCUACACAAUGCAUGUUCAGUGACUAUCUGUCUAAUCAUAUUAGUGCACUGGCCUACGUGAUCUGUUUAGUGAUCAGUUUGUUUGUCCUGUAAUAUUGGUUGCUUAGAGUCUUUGAUAAGGUUAUUGGGCAUUAACAAGCACUUGUUAUGUCAGGUGGCUUGUUUUCUUGACUACAACCAGACAAGCUAUGUUGGGUUAUGGCCAAAGAAAUUUUCUUUUUCCUUGUGAGAAGUAUUUAUACAUUUGGCACAUAUGAAUUCUUGAAUUGUUUGUUCUUUUUACUUGACAGUGAAAAGCUUAAAUUCCUUGUUAAGCACUCAGCUUGUUAUCAAGGUCAAGACAUAAGAGAUUAGGGAUAUUAGAUUAAUGGACUUACAUUUGAUAAUCAAAGCUCUAGAUUUUUCAGGCUGAGAAAUAAUUUCUGAAAAUUGGGUCCAAACUGCUUUGGCAUCUCAUUUUAGAUAUGUUAUGGAGCUCAUGGAUUUUUCACAUGGUGCAGGCUGCAUAAUAUUAUGGAUUUCAUGAGUUAAAUUGUUCAUCUAAUGUUUUUGUAGUGGAAAAGUUGGAGUUUUCAAUUUCAUCAGGACAUGCAGAAGUGAAACCCAGAGAUCUUGGUGAAGAAAUUGAGAGAAAAAGGGAACAGUUCCAAGCUAUCCUUCAACCUUUCUCUAAACAAUGUAAAAGAAACGAGGUAAGUGAAAAAUUCCUUUCGAACUAAGUUAUCUUCUAUGCCCGUUUUACGGAAUAUACGGAUUAAAUCUUUUCGGGAUUUUUGUUGCCUCUAACAAUAUGAUCUCUAGAAUUGAACUUGCGUAGGGGUGUAGUCGAGCUGAAUUGAGCCCAAAUAGUGGUAAGCUCAAGCUUAACUAGAAAUUUGAGGCUUGAUACCCGACUCAAGCUUGACUUGGGCAUCAAUUUCUAUGCUUGAGCUUGGCUUGAGAUAUAAUUAAACAUGUUUAUCAAUUUUCGUACUCAAAACUUGAUUAUGUUUGUUUCUAUAUUAUAAGGAUAAAAAUUUUAAAUUUCAUGAUAUAAAAAUAUAUUAAAAUAAAAAGCUCAAUUAGGCUAGUGAGACGUUCGAAUCAAGAUAGUGCUUGAUUUUGGUUCGGUUGAAAGUUUGAGUUGCUCAAGAUCGAGAUGAUUGGCUUGAUAAUUACCGAAUUAAAUUAAAGUUUUUUUCAAGUCGAACUCAAAUAGUUUGCUAGCAUUAUUAUCUCAUUUACAAUCCUAAACUUGAGUUUUUUCCCUAAAGAGUGUAUUGUAUAUUAUGAUUGCACUCGAGACUUGACGGUAAAUAGGGUUUUACUGGCAUAUUAUCUGAAACUUUGUACUGAUUAGGUUAAGUUGGAGGUCAAACUUGCUGCUGGAAUAUGUCCUGAAGAAAUAACACUCAAAGAAGCAGAAAAUGCUAACACAAGAUGGAUUGUUCUUGACAGGUAUGGCCAACUAUCCUUUUCAUUGCUUCUGUUUUUUGCAUUCUAAUGCAUACAAUUUCUCAAACUGGAAAAAGGGUAUUAAAUUUGAAUAUUGAUUAGUGUUUUUUUUAUAAUCUUGAUUAUUGACAGCCACUUAAAGAAGUACAAAAUGUGUAUAUAUUGGAAUGUUGAAUGCAAUGUUGCAGUAAUGAAAGGAAAAGAUGUUGCUACUUUAAUGCCAUCAAGGGCUCCCAAGCCUGAUUGCUCUCCUGUAAGUAGUGAACAAGCCGAUGCUGAAACUUGGCCCGAUGGUCGAUCCCUUAAUGAUCAAGAAACCGGAAAUCAGAACGUGAUUGAGGAAGGGGAAUCAUCGAUACAACCAGCUCCACGGGGUCCCUCUUGGGGUCCAUUACAAUUUAGACCUGGUUUUCCUCGAGAAUUUUUGUUCAGUGAAAUCGAAGAGAUUACGAACGGCUUCUCUGAUAUCCUUUGUCAAGAGGAAAACCUUAAAGUUUACGAAGGGGUAUUGAAGAAUACACCUGUUAUAGUCAAAUCUAUUCAAGACGAUGAACAGUUUUGGUCGAUGCUUACGAUCCUCUCCCGUGUACGCCACCGCAAUAUCAUGAACAUCAUUGGAUAUUGCUGUACCGCCACGAACAGAUUACUCAUAUCCGAUUAUCCAUGUUUGUAUAGUUUUGCUAUGAAGUUGCAAUGUAAGAUACCUUCUUCCUUUGUUCCCCCGUUUCAGUUUCCACAGCUUUAGAGCAAAACAUUCUUAAUAUUCUGCAGGUGAUGUCUCUGCUAUUAACCUUUCUUGGAGAGCAAGGUGGUAUACUGCUACUGAAAUAGGCGGUAGCUUGCGCUAUCUCCAUGAAGAAUGCCCCGACGGACCGAUCGUUCAUCAAUCUGUUUGUUCAUCUAGCAUUGUUUAUUCUCAUGGCUGCUCACCUAUGGUAAGUAAAUCUAAAACUAUAUCUUUUGCAUUAGAAAUUUGCAUACAGAUUACUGACUGAUGUUUAUGGAUUUGUAUUACCAUAUUGAAGCUAAGCAAUUUUAUGACAGCCAAGUGGUACAAAGGUGAUGUUCCUUUUAACGGGAAUUCAACUGGAAAGUAAGAAAAAAUUUUCUCCAUAAGAGUUGAAUUGUUACACGUCUUUGCCUAUAACUUUUAAGGUGAGAUCUUAUAAGGUCUUUUUUAAAUCAACGGUAAUAGUUAAAAGAUAAAAAUAAGAGUUAUAACUGUUUGAUCAAGCCAUGUUAGAAACUAAGAAAUUAUACGGAAGACCUGAAACUUAUCAAAUCCGUUACCAGUAUGUUGCUUUUCUCUAGAAAUUAGUUUCUCUCACUCUUUAGUAUUAAAACCAAUUAAAUUAGUUAAAAUGCGAAUUUUACAGGACAUGAUCAACAAUGUAUUGAUGUUUCUUUUUCUUCCUUUUUAUUUUAACCGUUGAUUUAAAAAAAUCUCACAAGAUCCCACUAUAAUGUAAUCUUUAAAUAAAUAUCACCCAUGUCAAAAUAUUUGUGAUAAUUUUGAACCUGUUUUUGGUGGAUGAAGAUGCCCAAACCUAGAGGAAGACAAGCAACUUUAUGUGGAUAUACAUGACUAUGGAUUGUUUCUUGUGGAGCUUAUUUCUGGAAAAGUUGCAGGUUGCUUUCCACAUGAAAAUGAGGGUCAGUCCUUGAUAGACUGGGUAAGAUUUUUGUUCAAAUUGCUUCCUAUGGUGACGAUUUUCAAUUGUAAUAAGGAGGUUUCAGUAAAAGUAUCAUGAAUGCCUCUGUACUAAAAAUCAGAUUGUAUUUUGUUCCAUCUACUAAAAAAUUAAUAAAUUAAUCCUAAUACGUUAAAUCAAAAAACAAACUGAUCCUUUUGUUAAAAAUUCCAUUCAUUUCUAUUAUUAAAAAUCAAUCCCUAUACAUCAACAUCAGAUACACAAAACACGUCUUGUAUCAUUGUUUGUUUAUUCUAUCAACCACACUAGUUUUUAACAAUAUAACUGGAUGAAAUUUUUAAUGAAAAAGAUCAACUUUCUCUUUAAUCUAAAAUAGAUAGACUAAUUUGUCUAUUCUUUGAGUAGAGUAGACAAAAUACAAUCUACCUUCCAAUAUAGGAGCUUCCAUAAAACUUUUAUAGGAGUUUCUUGAUGAAAAUGAUUAUGAAUUAUCACAUAUGUUCUAAGAUAUUUUUAGGCAGCUAGAAAUAUCGAACAAAUAUAAGCUAUGUUACCCGGAUUUAGAUGAAUGUUAGAUACUAACAUUUGUCUAUCACGAGGUUAUACCAACGUCUGACUAUGUAUUCGGAUGACAUUAAUUCUCUUUAUACUUAAAUGAAGGCACUGCCGCUUCUAGAAAGCAGUUCAGUCACUCAACUGAUGGAUCCAAGAUUGGCGGACAAAGAAGAUGAUUUGAAGGUGGUUCAUUGUAUGGCUCGGGCAGCUUUGCUUUGUCUGAAAAAUGAUUCCGGUCGCAGUAUUUCCAUAAGCGAGGUAAGGUUUUCUUUUCA
Molecule: long non-coding RNA, 12057 nt
Filed under: Gossypium raimondii (Peruvian cotton)
Lineage: Eukaryota; Viridiplantae; Streptophyta; Magnoliopsida; Malvales; Malvaceae
Description: long non-coding RNA (GRAI_LNC004250)
Rfam family: MIR7502 microRNA precursor family (bases 3217-3361)
Source: RNAcentral